RNAcentral lists this ribosomal RNA (832 nucleotides) under uncultured bacterium. RNAcentral's name for it is "bacterial SSU rRNA". It matches the Rfam family "Bacterial small subunit ribosomal RNA", at positions 561 to 1392 of the family's 1533-position model. The record is from RNAcentral.
UAAAGAGCUCGUAGGCGGUUUGUCGCGUCUGCUGUGAAAAUCCGAGGCUCAACCUCGGACCUGCAGUGGGUACGGGCAAACUAGAGUGCGGUAGGGGAGAUUGGAAUUCCUGGUGUAGCGGUGGAAUGCGCAGAUAUCAGGAGGAACACCAAUGGCGAAGGCAGAUCUCUGGGCCGUAACUGACGCUGAGGAGCGAAAGCGUGGGGAGCGAACAGGAUUAGAUACCCUGGUAGUCCACGCCGUAAACGGUGGGAACUAGAUGUAGGGACCGUUCCACGGUUUCUGUGUCGCAGCUAACGCAUUAAGUUCCCCGCCUGGGGAGUACGGCCGCAAGGCUAAAACUCAAAGGAAUUGACGGGGGCCCGCACAAGCGGCGGAGCAUGCGGAUUAAUUCGAUGCAACGCGAAGAACCUUACCAAGGCUUGACAUAUAGAGGAAAAGUGUAGAAAUACACUCCCCGCAAGGUCUCUAUACAGGUGGUGCAUGGUUGUCGUCAGCUCGUGUCGUGAGAUGUUGGGUUAAGUCCCGCAACGAGCGCAACCCUCGUCCUAUGUUGCCAGCACGUAAUGGUGGGAACUCAUGGGAUACUGCCGGGGUCAACUCGGAGGAAGGUGGGGAUGACGUCAAAUCAUCAUGCCCCUUAUGUCUUGGGCUUCACGCAUGCUACAAUGGCCGGUACAGAGGGCAGCAAUACCGCAAGGUGGAGCGAAUCCCAAAAAGCCGGUCUCAGUUCGGAUUGAGGUCUGCAACUCGACCUCAUGAAGUCGGAGUCGCUAGUAAUCGCAAAUCAGCAACGUUGCGGUGAAUACGUUCCCGGGCCUUGUACACACCG